AUUUAACCAGAAAGCCACGGCUAACUACGUGCCAGCAGCCGCGGUAAUACGUAGGUGGCAAGCGUUGUCCGGAUUUAUUGGGCGUAAAGCGAGCGCAGGCGGUUUUUUAAGUCUGAUGUGAAAGCCUUCGGCUCAACCGAAGAAGUGCAUCGGAAACUGGGAAACUUGAGUGCAGAAGAGGACAGUGGAACUCCAUGUGUAGCGGUGAAAUGCGUAGAUAUAUGGAAGAACACCAGUGGCGAAGGCGGCUGUCUGGUCUGUAACUGACGCUGAGGCUCGAAAGUAUGGGUAGCAAACAGGAUUAGAUACCCUGGUAGUCCAUACCGUAAACGAUGAAUGCUAAGUGUUGGAGGGUUUCCGCCCUUCAGUGCUGCAGCUAACGCAUUAAGCAUUCCGCCUGGGGAGUACGGCCGCAAGGCUGAAACUCAAAGGAAUUGACGGGGGCCCGCACAAGCGGUGGAGCAUGUGGUUUAAUUCGAAGCUACGCGAAGAACCUUACCAGGUCUUGACAUACUAUGCAAAUCUAAGAGAUUAGACGU
This 539-nucleotide ribosomal RNA is filed under the name Lactobacillus delbrueckii subsp. bulgaricus. Its description in RNAcentral is "bacterial SSU rRNA". It matches the Rfam family "Bacterial small subunit ribosomal RNA", at positions 477 to 1014 of the family's 1533-position model. The record is from RNAcentral. Lineage: Bacteria; Bacillati; Bacillota; Bacilli; Lactobacillales; Lactobacillaceae.